RNAcentral lists this ribosomal RNA (1836 nucleotides) under human gut metagenome. RNAcentral's name for it is "bacterial LSU rRNA". It matches the Rfam family "Bacterial large subunit ribosomal RNA", at positions 1091 to 2925 of the family's 2925-position model. The record is from RNAcentral.
AACCAGGAUGUUGGCUUAGAAGCAGCCAUGCAUUUAAAGAGUGCGUAACAGCUCACUGGUCAAGUGGACAUGCGCCGACAAUUCACGGGGCUAAGCAUGGUACCGAAGCGGCGGACUAAUCUAUAUUAGUGGUAGGGGAGCUUUCCCCGCAGCGGAGAAGCCGAGAGGGCGACCCUCGGUGGAGCGCGGGGAAGUGAGAAUGCUGGCAUGAGUAACGAGAGCGGCGCGAGAAACGCCGCCGCCGUAAGCCUAAGGGUUCCUGGGCAAGGCUAAUCCUCCCAGGGUCAGUCGGGAGCUAAGGCGAGGCCGAGAGGCGUAGCCGAUGCGCAACAGGCGGACAUUCCUGUACCGCCUGCGGACCGCUAUCACCGACGGGGUGACGGAGAAGGGUAGCCGAGCGGGGUUCUGGACGUCCCCGUGAAAGCGCGUAGGGCGCGGAGCAUGGAAAUCAGCUCCGCAGAAAGCCUGAGACGCGAGACGAAAGCUUAUGCUGAAGUCGGCGAGCCCAUGCUUCCGAGAAAAACCUCUAGGAAGGGACGCAGGCGCCCGUACCAAAACCGACACAGGUGGGCAGGUAGAGCAUACCGAGGCGAUCGGGAGAACCAUGGUUAAGGAACUCGGCAUACUGACUCCGUAACUUCGGGAGAAGGAGUGCCCCUGGCGGUGACGGGACUUGCUCCCCGAGCGGCCGGGGGUCGCAGCGAAACGGCCCAAGCGACUGUUUAUCAAAAACACAGGACUCUGCAAAGCCGUAAGGCGACGUAUAGGGUCUGACGCCUGCCCGGUGCUGGAAGGUUACGCGGAUGGGUCAGCCGCAAGGCGAAGCUCUGAAGCCAAGCCCCAGUAAACGGCGGCCGUAACUAUAACGGUCCUAAGGUAGCGAAAUUCCUUGUCGGGUAAGUUCCGACCUGCACGAAUGGCGUAACGAUUUGGGCGCUGUCUCAACCAUGGACCCGGUGAAAUUGUAUUAUUCGUGAAGAUGCGAAUUACCUGCGGAAGGACGGAAAGACCCCGUGAACCUUUACUGCAGCUUGACAUUGAUCGUUGGCUCGGCGCGUAGAGGAUAGGCAGGAGGCUGCGAAGCCCGGGCGCCAGCCCGGGCGGAGCCGACCUUGGAAUACUGCCCUCGUCGCGUCGGCGAUCUAACCCCCGGCCGUGAUCCGGCGGGGGGACCGUGUCAGGCGGGUAGUUUGACUGGGGCGGUCGCCUCCCAAAACGUAACGGAGGCGCGCAAAGGUCCGCUCAGAACGGUCGGCAACCGUUCGCAGAGCGCAAGAGUACAAGCGGGCUUGACUGCGAGGCCCACAAGCCGAGCAGAGACGAAAGUCGGUUCUAGUGAUCCGGCGGCACAGAGUGGAAUGGCCGUCGCUCAACGGAUAAAAGGUACUCCGGGGAUAACAGGCUGAUCUUGCCCAAGAGUCCACAUCGACGGCAAGGUUUGGCACCUCGAUGUCGGCUCAUCGCAUCCUGGGGCUGAAGUCGGUCCCAAGGGUAUGGCUGUUCGCCAUUUAAAGCGGUACGCGAGCUGGGUUCAGAACGUCGUGAGACAGUUCGGUCCCUAUCCUCCGCAGGCGCAAGAGGAUUGAGGAGGUCUGCCCCUAGUACGAGAGGACCGGGGUGGACGGACCUCUGGUGCAGCAGUUGUCGACCAACGGCACGGCUGCCUAGCUACGUCCGGCACGGAUAACCGCUGAAAGCAUCUAAGUGGGAAGCCGUCUCCAAGAUGAGUCCUCUUUCCGGUAAGGGCCCAGGCAGAACACCUGGUCGAUAGGCCGCAGGUGCAAGGCGUGCGAGCGCCUCAGCCGAGCGGUACUAAUAGCCCGAGCUCUUCUUCCA